This 468-nucleotide ribosomal RNA is filed under the name uncultured bacterium. RNAcentral describes it as "partial 16S ribosomal RNA". It matches the Rfam family "Bacterial small subunit ribosomal RNA", at positions 28 to 507 of the family's 1533-position model. The record is from RNAcentral.
GACGAACGCUGGCGGCGUGCUUAACACAUGCAAGUCGAACGGAAAGGCCCUGCUUUUGUGGGGUGCUCGAGUGGCGAACGGGUGAGUAACACGUGAGUAACCUGCCCUUGACUUUGGGAUAACUUCAGGAAACUGGGGCUAAUACCGGAUAGGAGCUCCUGCUGCAUGGUGGGGGUUGGAAAGUUUCGGCGGUUGGGGAUGGACUCGCGGCUUAUCAGCUUGUUGGUGGGGUAAUGGCUUACCAAGGCUUUGACGGGUAGCCGGCCUGAGGGGGUGACCGGCCACAUUGGGACUGAGAUACGGCCCAGACUCCUACGGGAGGCAGCAGUGGGGAAUAUUGCACAAUGGGCGGAAGCCUGAUGCAGCAACGCCGCGUGCGGGAUGACGGCCUUCGGGUUGUAAACCGCUUUCGCCUGUGACGAAGCGUGAGUGACGGUAAUGGGUAAAGAAGCACCGGCUAACUACGUG